Molecule: transfer RNA, 92 nt
Filed under: compost metagenome
Description: tRNA-Ser
Source: RNAcentral
AGCUGGAUGCCGCAGUGGAUGCAACCAGCAGCAAGAAACUGCUGGCCUGAGGGCUGACCGUUUUCGGUCGAGUUCAGACUUGGUUCGGCUCC